Molecule: ribosomal RNA, 518 nt
Filed under: uncultured bacterium
Lineage: Bacteria
Description: bacterial SSU rRNA
Rfam family: Bacterial small subunit ribosomal RNA
Source: RNAcentral
AGAAUUUAGCAGAGAUGCUUUAGUGCCUUCGGGAACUCUGAGACAGGUGCUGCAUGGCUGUCGUCAGCUCGUGUUGUGAAUGUUGGGUUAAGUCCCGCAACGAGCGCAACCCUUAUCCUUUGUUGCCAGCACGUAAUGGUGGGAACUCAAAGGAGACUGCCGGUGAUAAACCGGAGGAAGGUGGGGAUGACGUCAAGUCAUCAUGGCCCUUACGAGUAGGGCUACACACGUGCUACAAUGGCGCAUACAAAGAGAAGCGACCUCGCGAGAGCAAGCGGACCUCAUAAAGUGCGUCGUAGUCCGGAUUGGAGUCUGCAACUCGACUCCAUGAAGUCGGAAUCGCUAGUAAUCGUAAAUCAGAAUGUUACGGUGAAUACGUUCCCGGGCCUUGUACACACCGCCCGUCACACCAUGGGAGUGGGUUGCAAAAGAAGUAGAUAGCUUAACCUUCGGGAGGGCGUUUACCACUUUGUGAUUCAUGACUGGGGGUGAAGUCGUAACAAGGUAAGCGUAGUGCU